UUUCCGUAGGUGAACCUGCGGAAGGAUCAUUAUUGUAUAACCGAGGUGCGAGGGCUGUCGCUGACCCGAAAGGUCGUGCACGCCCGAGUGCCCUCACACACAUCCAUCUACCCCUAUGUGCACCACCGCGUGGGUCCCCCUUUGGCUUGUUCGGAGGGGGGCUUACGUUUUCACACAAACUUUGUAUGCAGUGUAGAAUGUAUUUUUUGUUUUUGCGAUCACGCAAUCAAUACGACUUUCAACAACGGAUCUCUUGGCUCUC
RNAcentral lists this unclassified non-coding RNA (262 nucleotides) under plant metagenome. RNAcentral's name for it is "partial contains small subunit ribosomal RNA, internal transcribed spacer 1, and 5.8S ribosomal RNA". The record is from RNAcentral.